Molecule: ribosomal RNA, 468 nt
Filed under: uncultured bacterium
Lineage: Bacteria
Description: partial 16S ribosomal RNA
Rfam family: Bacterial small subunit ribosomal RNA
Source: RNAcentral
GACGAACGCUGGCGGCGUGCUUAACACAUGCAAGUCGAACGGAAAGGCCCUGCUUUUGUGGGGUGCUCGAGUGGCGAACGGGUGAGUAACACGUGAGUAACCUGCCCUUGACUUUGGGAUAACUUCAGGAAACUGGGGCUAAUACCGGAUAGGAGCUCCUGCUGCAUGGUGGGGGUUGGAAAGUUUCGGCGGUUGGGGAUGGACUCGCGGCUUAUCAGCUUGUUGGUGGGGUAGUGGCUUACCAAGGCUUUGACGGGUAGCCGGCCUGAGGGGGUGACCGGCCACAUUGGGAAUGAGAUACGGCCCAGAGUCAUACGGGAGGCAGCAGUGGGGGAUAUUGCACAAUGGGCGGAAGCCUGAUGCCGCAACGGCGCGUGCGGGAUGACGGCCUUCGGGUUGUAAACCGCUUUCGCCUGUGACGAAGCGGGAGUGACGGUAAUGGGUAAAGAAGCACCGGCUAACUACGUG